GGAAGUAAAAUCGUAACAAGGUCUCCGUUGGUGAACCAGCGGAGGGAUCAUUACAGAGUUGCAAAACUCCCAAACUAUUGUGAACGUUACCUAUCCCGUUGCUUCGGCGGGCGGCCCGGGCCCCGCGCCCGGCGCCCCCCGGCCCCCCGUGGGCGCCCGCCGGAGGUAAACCAAACCCUUGAAUUGCAUGGCCUCUCUGAGUCUUCUGUACUGAAUAAGUCAAAACUUUCAACAACGGAUCUCUUGGUUCUG
This 252-nucleotide unclassified non-coding RNA is filed under the name plant metagenome. RNAcentral's name for it is "partial contains small subunit ribosomal RNA, internal transcribed spacer 1, and 5.8S ribosomal RNA". The stretch from base 1 to 53 matches the Rfam family "Eukaryotic small subunit ribosomal RNA", at positions 1778 to 1831 of the family's 1831-position model. The record is from RNAcentral.